Molecule: ribosomal RNA, 429 nt
Filed under: bacterium
Lineage: Bacteria
Description: partial 16S ribosomal RNA
Rfam family: Bacterial small subunit ribosomal RNA
Source: RNAcentral
UAGGGAAUCUUCGGCAAUGGGGGCAACCCUGACCGAGCAACGCCGCGUGAGUGAAGAAGGUUUUCGGAUCGUAAAGCUCUGUUGUAAGAGAAGAACGUGUGUGAGAGUGGAAAGUUCACACAGUGACAGUAACUUACCAGAAAGGGACGGCUAACUACGUGCCAGCAGCCGCGGUAAUACGUAGGUCCCGAGCGUUGUCCGGAUUUAUUGGGCGUAAAGCGAGCGCAGGCGGUUUAAUAAGUCUGAAGUUAAAGGCAGUGGCUUAACCAUUGUUCGCUUUGGAAACUGUUAAACUUGAGUGCAGAAGGGGAGAGUGGAAUUCCAUGUGUAGCGGUGAAAUGCGUAGAUAUAUGGAGGAACACCGGUGGCGAAAGCGGCUCUCUGGUCUGUAACUGACGCUGAGGCUCGAAAGCGUGGGGAGCAAACAGG